This 614-nucleotide ribosomal RNA is filed under the name uncultured fungus. RNAcentral describes it as "eukaryotic LSU rRNA". It matches the Rfam family "Eukaryotic large subunit ribosomal RNA", at positions 23 to 641 of the family's 3401-position model. The record is from RNAcentral. Lineage: Eukaryota; Fungi.
ACCCGCUGAACUUAAGCAUAUCAAUAAGCGGAGGAAAAGAAACUAACAAGGAUUCCCCUAGUAACGGCGAGUGAAGCGGGAAGAGCUCAAAUUUAAAAUCUGGCAGUGUAUUCUGUCCGAGUUGUAGUCUAGAGAAGCAUCAUCCGUGCUGGACCAUGUACAAGUCUCUUGGAACAGAGCGUCAUAGAGGGUGAGAAUCCCGUCCUUGACAUGGACUCCCAGUGCUUUGUGUUGUGCUCUCAACGAGUCGAGUUGUUUGGGAAUGCAGCUCAAAAUGGGUGGUAAAUUCCAUCUAAAGCUAAAUAUUGGCGAGAGACCGAUAGCGAACAAGUACCGUGAGGGAAAGAUGAAAAGCACUUUGGAGAGAGAGUUAAACAGUACGUGAAAUUGUUGAAAUGGAAACGCUUGAAGUCAGUCGCGUUCUCUGGGAUUCAGCCUUGCUUUUGCUUGGUGCAUUUCCUAGUCUACGGGCCAGCAUGAAUUUUGACCAAUGGAAAAAGGCUGGGGGAAUGUGGCACCUUCGGGUGUGUUAUAGCCCCUUGUCACAUACGUUGGUUGGGAUUGAGGUCUUAGUGCACGCUUCGGUUGUGCUUUGAUGCUGGCGUAAUGGCUUU